AGAGGUGGCAAGCUUAUGUAUACGGGCAAACAUACAAAAAGACUCUUUUGUUCUUUAAUCUUACCCGUGGGAAGGUCUGAGGAAAACCGCUAAAUGUCUUUGCUGGAUAACCUGUGAAAAUGGGGGCAGUGCUACCAGAAAAUAUAUCAUCUUGGACCGUUAGUACCGUUGAAGGAGCUUGCAAGAGUUUCUGAUGGGUUGGUUCGAGUUUGUUUACUGUAAUGGCCUGUGGGUGGUAACGCUAUGAAGUGCAAUACAUGAGACCGGUUGUACUGGUAACUCAAUUCAGACUACUCUGUCUCCUCU
RNAcentral lists this RNase P RNA (306 nucleotides) under Mucor circinelloides 1006PhL. Its description in RNAcentral is "Mucor circinelloides f. circinelloides 1006PhL Nuclear RNase P". It matches the Rfam family "Nuclear RNase P". From Rfam's summary of the family: Ribonuclease P (RNase P) is a ubiquitous endoribonuclease, found in archaea, bacteria and eukarya as well as chloroplasts and mitochondria. The record is from Rfam by way of RNAcentral. Lineage: Eukaryota; Fungi; Mucoromycota; Mucoromycetes; Mucorales; Mucoraceae.